Molecule: long non-coding RNA, 1403 nt
Organism: Polistes canadensis
Lineage: Eukaryota; Metazoa; Arthropoda; Insecta; Hymenoptera; Vespidae
Exons: 2
Source: RefSeq, a predicted model, not a curated record
GACUCGGAGAAAAAGAAGGCGCUAAAAAGUGAGGUUAGGUCGUCAAAUCGAAACCUCCAUCGUCGAGAUCAGAGGUUCGUUAGAAAUUUGACCAGGGUUGGCCGUGAAAAAACGUUGGGCUGUCACUUCCCGACAUUCCCAGUGGCGCUCGCGUUGUCAAUGAGACACGAUGCGUUAUUCUCUUUCGAGUAUAUAGAGCAAAACGAAAACGUUGUUUUUCGGGAUGUUCCGCGUUCUCGGAUUGUCAGGUACGAAGGGCUUGUCUCAAUAAUAAUCGUUCUUCUUUCUUUCGUUUCACCGUUUUCUUCGUACGCCGGUGAAACGCGUUCAUUGGGCACCCUAUAUACGAUCAAACACAAUCUAUCUUUUUCUCUCUCCCUCUCUCUUUCUCUCUCUCUCUCUUUUUUUCUCUCUAUCUUUCUUUCUCCCUUUCUUUUUCUUUCGUGUUUGAUCUCUCCCUUCUUCUCUCACAAUUCUUGAAAGAAGCUUUAGAUCAAGUACACGAACGACAUUACGAAUGUUCUUCCAACAUUUUGUUUACUAAAUAUAUUAUAUCCUUCUUUACGCUGCCGACGAUAGGAGUAGGAACACGUUUCUCUCUCUUUGCAUGUGUUACUGUAAAUGAGGGCUACAAUAAACUAACUAAACGAGUGAUUGGUCAACCGCGUUGCAAUGUAAAAUGGCGCACCGUUGAUACUUUAGGCGCGAAUUUUACCGACCAAUCACGAAUGCUCGUUCGAUUAUAUGAAUACUUCAAAUGUUCUUAUUGGCUCCUUCGAUCGAUAAGUUUAGUCGAAUGUAUACAUUCAAAUGAAUAUUUAUUUAUUUCUUUUUACUUUUCAAUUUUAUAUUUGUAAUUACAAAUUAUGAAUACUUUUAUUUUAUAUUUUAAUAUCGAAAAUGUAUGUAUUUUAAAAUUCCAGUUCUCAUUAUAUUAGGUUGUCCGAAAAGUUCGUAUUAAUUUUCGAUAGGUGGCAUAAAGUUUUUUUGUUGAAAAACUUAAAAAGUUCCGGUAGGACAGAUUUAUUUCGAUAAGCGGCAAAUAGUUUUUUUGUUGAAAAACCUGAAAAGUUCCGGUAGGACAGAAUUAUUCAAGUUACCCUUAAAGAUGGAGGAAGGUUGUGGAGCAGAAUAACACUUACAUAUAAUUUAAUAAAUAAAUAUAUUAACCAAAACUUAAAUGCGUUGCGUUUCAAUCUUUCGUCAAAAUCGGCACGAAUUUUCCGAACAACCAAUACUUUUAUUAUCUCUCAAUUCAACUUAAUAAUCAUGAAAUCAGAUGAAAUAAUAAAAUAAGUUUGAUGGUAUACGAUUCAUAAAACUAUUCUUAAACUGAGGCCUUAAUUAUGUUCUAACAGUAAGGAAAAUUUCUCUAACCGUAAAAAUUUAGUUAAUAUUAUUUU